GGUCUUGUGCGCGAACACCGCGCACACUAUCUAGAGGGCGUCCGGGCAACCGGACUAUGGACAUAAACGCGCUCGUAAUAAGCGGAUCGGACCCGGGGGCGGUACCCGGCGACUCCACCAAACAACCCUUCGUUGGGGGCAAAUGGGGUCGAAACAGGAUCGACGAACGUGUAAAGGGGUUUUUGCUUUGUCCCGGUGAGGUACCACCGUUAUCGGUCCGAAAAGUACAGUUGCCAACGACAACCGUGCUCCGGCGAUGGCUCUGGCUGCGUAAGCAGUCCGGGUAUCCCGAACCUAAGUCCUAAGGGGUAGCACCUUUAGGCGGGGUCCGCAGGCACCUGGCAACAGAAGCCUGCACC
RNAcentral lists this transfer-messenger RNA (359 nucleotides) under Rubellimicrobium rubrum. RNAcentral describes it as "Alphaproteobacteria transfer-messenger RNA". It matches the Rfam family "Alphaproteobacteria transfer-messenger RNA". From Rfam's summary of the family: Bacterial tmRNA, also known as 10Sa RNA or SsrA, is named for its dual tRNA and mRNA-like properties. Its role is to liberate the mRNA from a stalled ribosome. Lineage: Bacteria; Pseudomonadati; Pseudomonadota; Alphaproteobacteria; Rhodobacterales; Roseobacteraceae. The record is from Rfam by way of RNAcentral.